UACGAAGGGGGCAAGCGUUGUUCGGAAUUAUUGGGCGUAAAGCGCGUGUAGGCGGCUUUCUAAGUCAGGUGUGAAAUCCUGGAGCUCAACUCCAGAACUGCCUUUGAUACUGGCGACCUUGAGUCCGGGAGAGGUGAGUGGAACUGCGAGUGUAGAGGUGAAAUUCGUAGAUAUUCGCAAGAACACCAGUGGCGAAGGCGGCUCACUGGCCCGGUACUGACGCUGAGGUGCGAAAGCGUGGGGAGCAAACAGG
Molecule: ribosomal RNA, 253 nt
Filed under: uncultured bacterium
Lineage: Bacteria
Description: partial 16S ribosomal RNA
Rfam family: Bacterial small subunit ribosomal RNA
Source: RNAcentral